Molecule: long non-coding RNA, 242 nt
Filed under: Panax ginseng (ginseng)
Lineage: Eukaryota; Viridiplantae; Streptophyta; Magnoliopsida; Apiales; Araliaceae
Description: long non-coding RNA (PGIN_LNC019078)
Source: RNAcentral
AGGGGGCAAAUGUGGGCCCAAGUGCAAAAUUAGGGUUCACAUGACCUAAUUGAAUUAAAUGCACAAUUAGGGUUCCACGACCUCAUUAAAUGUGCAAAUUAGGGUUCGUAUAACCUAAUGGAAUGAAGAUGGAAAAGUCAGAAAUAAAUGUGCUAGACCCGGGAUAAGCCUCCACGUGUCCCGAGGCAGAAGACUCGUGGAGGCGGCUCGUUUUGGGAAUUGAUUGAGGGAUUGGAUUGGUG